UGAGAUGCAGCUCAGUUGGUAGAGCACUUGCCUAGCAUGUGUGAAGCCCUGGGUUCAAUCCCAGCACCACAU
Molecule: transfer RNA, 72 nt
Filed under: Neotoma lepida (desert woodrat)
Lineage: Eukaryota; Metazoa; Chordata; Mammalia; Rodentia; Cricetidae
Rfam family: tRNA
About the family: Transfer RNA (tRNA) molecules are approximately 80 nucleotides in length. Their secondary structure includes four short double-helical elements and three loops (D, anti-codon, and T loops). Further hydrogen bonds mediate the characteristic L-shaped molecular structure. tRNAs have two regions of fundamental functional importance: the anti-codon, which is responsible for specific mRNA codon recognition, and the 3' end, to which the tRNAs corresponding amino acid is attached (by aminoacyl-tRNA synthetases). tRNAs cope with the degeneracy of the genetic code in two manners: having more than one tRNA (with a specific anti-codon) for a particular amino acid; and 'wobble' base-pairing, i.e. permitting non-standard base-pairing at the 3rd anti-codon position.
Source: Rfam by way of RNAcentral